GACGAACGCUGGCGGCGUGCUUAACACAUGCAAGUCGAGCGGUAAGGCCCUUCGGGGUACACGAGCGGCGAACGGGUGAGUAACACGUGGGUGACCUGCCUCUAGCUCUGGGAUAAGCCUGGGAAACUGGGUCUAAUACCGGAUAUGACUCCACGGCGCAUGUUGUGGGGUGGAAAGCCUUGUGUGGCUAGAGAUGGGCCCGCGGCCUACCAGCUUGUUGGUGGGGUGANGGCCUACCAAGGCGACGACGGGUAGCCGGCCUGAGAGGGCGACCGGCCACACUGGGACUGAGACACGGCCCAGACUCCUACGGGNGGCAGCAGUGGGGAAUCUUGCGCAAUGGGCGAAAGCCUGACGCAGCGACGCCGCGUGAGGGAUGACGGCC
This 385-nucleotide ribosomal RNA is filed under the name uncultured bacterium. RNAcentral's name for it is "bacterial SSU rRNA". It matches the Rfam family "Bacterial small subunit ribosomal RNA", at positions 28 to 416 of the family's 1533-position model. The record is from RNAcentral.